CAGAGUUGCAAAACUCCCAACCCUUUGUGAACGAACCUGACAGUUGCUUCGGCGGAGUACCCGUAAAGGCUAGACCCCAAAAGGGUCUAGCCUUUACGGGUACUCCGCCGAAGUCCUACAAACUCUUGAUUAUCUUGGCAUCUCUGAGUAGCUUAUAAAUAAGUUA
RNAcentral lists this unclassified non-coding RNA (166 nucleotides) under uncultured Sordariomycetes. Its description in RNAcentral is "sequence contains ITS1". Lineage: Eukaryota; Fungi; Ascomycota; Sordariomycetes. The record is from RNAcentral.